This 190-nucleotide ribosomal RNA is filed under the name uncultured bacterium. RNAcentral describes it as "partial 16S ribosomal RNA". It matches the Rfam family "Bacterial small subunit ribosomal RNA", at positions 1312 to 1500 of the family's 1533-position model. The record is from RNAcentral.
UCGCCUACAUGAAGCUGGAGUUACUAGUAAUCGCAGACCAGAAUGCUGCGGUGAAUGCGUUCCCGGGUCUUGUACACACCGCCCGUCACACCACGGAGGUUGGGGCGCCCGAAGCCACUUAGCUAACCCUUUUGGGAAGCGAGUGUCGAAGGUGAAAUCAAUAACUGGGGUGAAGUCGUAACAAGGUAAC